AGAGUUUGAUCAUGGCUCAGGAUGGACGCUGGCGAGAUGCCUUACACAUGCAAGUCAUACGAGAAUUUUUAAUUCAAGUGGCGGACGGGUGAGUAACACGUAAGAAUUUGCCUUUAGGAGGGGGACAACAACUGGAAACGGUUGCUAAUACCCCAUAUGCUUUCGAGUGAAAUGGAUUUUUCCGCCUAGAGAGAAGCUUGCGGCUGAUUAGCUUGUUGGUAAGGUAAUGGCUUACCAAGGCGACGAUCAGUAUCUGGUUUGAGAGGAUGAUCAGACACACUGGAACUGAGACACGGUCCAGACUCCUACGGGAGGCAGCAGUGGGGAAUUUUCCGCAAUGGGCGAAAGCCUGACGGAGCAAUCUCGCGUGAGGGAUGACGGCCUAUGGGUUGUAAACCUCUUUUUUCAGGGAGGAACAAAAUGACGUGUACCUGAAGAAUAAGCAUCGGCUAACUCCGUGCCAGCAGCCGCGGUAAGACGGAGGAUGCAAGUGUUAUCCGGAAUCACUGGGCGUAAAGCGUCUGUAGGUGGUUUAGUAAGUCAACUGUUAAAUCUUGAAGCUCAACUUCAAAAUCGCAGUCGAAACUACUAGACUAGAGUAUAGUAGGGGUAAAGGGAAUUUCCAGUGGAGCGGUGAAAUGCGUAGAUAUUGGAAAGAACACCGAUGGCGAAGGC
This 675-nucleotide ribosomal RNA is filed under the name uncultured bacterium. RNAcentral describes it as "bacterial SSU rRNA". It matches the Rfam family "Bacterial small subunit ribosomal RNA", at positions 8 to 722 of the family's 1533-position model. The record is from RNAcentral.